Molecule: long non-coding RNA, 2867 nt
Organism: Pecten maximus
Lineage: Eukaryota; Metazoa; Mollusca; Bivalvia; Pectinida; Pectinidae
Exons: 2
Source: RefSeq, a predicted model, not a curated record
UCAUUUAGUUUUUAUUCAGACAUAUACAUCAAGUAAAAGAAAGAUAACAAUACAUUUGGUUGAAACCCAAAAUGAUAAAGCAAUGUUUUACAGGUAAAUUGACCAGGUAUUACCUUUUUAUCAUACACCCAGGUAAUAUUAACAUGUAAAUCCCCAGGUAUACACUUUCUAUCAAAACCCAUGUAAUGUUUUACAGGUAAGUUCCCCAGGUUUUCACUUGCUUCCAGAAACCCAGGUAAAGUUUUACAGGUAAAUUUCCCAGGUAUACACUUGCUACAUUAAACCCAGAUAAACAGCACUUGUAAUGUGAAACUGAGGAUUUCAGUAAACCCAAAUAAACAAAGACAUACAGUUUAACCCGUUAUACAGUCUUAACGCUGGUUCUGAAAUAUGGUACAGAACCUACACCAUUUAAUAUUCUUGGUUUAAAGUGACUUUCUUCAUUUCAACUAAAAUCUUUGUUCCAGAUAUAGUGAUAUACAGUGGAACUUCGUUAACUCGAACUCGGAAAACUCGAAUACCCCGCCUAACUCGAAAAAAUGUAGAUUGAUUUUGACAAUCUGAAUUGUCAUAUGACACUGACACUCCUGUGUCAGGUGGUCUUUAUGUGACAAUAUGACACAGAUACUUGUGUGUCAGGUGGUCUUUAUGUGACAAUAUGACACAGAUACUUGUUUGUCAGGUCGUCUCCAUGUGACAAUAUGACACAGAUACUUGUUUGUCAGGUCGUCUCCAUGUGACAAUAUGACACAGAUACUUGUGUGUCAGGUGGUCUUUAUGUGACAGUAUGACACAGACACUUGUGUGUCAGGUGGUCUCCAUGUGACAACAUGACAGACACUUGUGUGUAAGGUCGUCUCCACGUGACAACAUGACAGACACUUGUGUGUCAGGUGGUCUCCAUGUGACAACAUGACAGACACUUGUGUGUCAGGUCGUCUCCACGUGACAACAUGACAGACACUUGUGUGUUGUGUGUUAAGUUGUCUCCAUGUGACACCAACAUGACACAGACACUCGUGUGUCAGGUGGUCUCCAUGUGACAGUAUGACACAGACACUCGUGUGUCAGGUCGUCUCCACGUGACAACAUGACAGACACUUGUGUGUUAAGUUGUCUCCAUGUGAUACCAACACGACACAGACACUCGUGUGUCAGGUCGUCUCCAUGUGACAAUAUGACACAGACACUCAUGUGUCAGGUGGUCUCCAUGUGACAGUAUGACACAGACACUCGUGUGUCAGGUCGUCUCCACGUGACAACAUGACAGACACUUGUGUGUUAAGUUGUCUCCAUGUGACACCAACACGACACAGACACUUGUGUGUCAGGUCGUCUCCAUGGGACAACAAUAUGACAGACACUCAUGUGUCAGGUGGUCUCCAUGUGACAACAUGACAGACACUUGUGUGUAAGGUCGUCUCCAUGGGACAACAGUAUGACAGACACUCAUGUGUCAGGUCGUCUCCAUGGGACAACAAUAUGACAAGACACUUGUUUCAGGUUGUCUCUAUGUGACAACAAAAAAACAGACACUCGUGUGACCAGUCUUAUCCAUAUGACAACAACAUGACACAGACACUUAUUUAUCAGUUCAUGUUUACAUUCUCAGGACAGAAUAGUUCAUAAUAGUACAAGAUAAUCUGUUUGGAGGGAAAAUCUAUUGAUAUUUAUCAUCUCUGUGUAGUUUAAAAUAUCAUUUGACAUUACCAGAAAUGGAGAAAUGUCACUUUAAAACAAAGAUUUGUACAACAUAAGAAAUGGUGUAUUUGCAUUUCAUAUUGUUCAGCCAACAUUCAUUUUGACAAAGUUAAAACUAUCACCUCAUCAUUUUUCAACGAUAAAAAAUUCGAAAUAUUUUAAUAUACAAAUAUGCUUCUUACACACAAUAUACUGUUAUGGGAAGAAUGCGGUGAGUUUAUUGUAAUUCUGGGUGUAUUAACACAACAGUCCUUUUUAUACUAGCAGCCUUCUAAUUCCCUAAAUAAAUGUACUUAUAUCAAAACCGGGGUAUAUUGAGAACAAACAUAAUUCUUACAAAAAAUUAUUGUUUGUUUUUGUAACAUUUGAACACAUGUACAUGAAUCAAUAUAUUCAUUUAAAACUUCUUAAUCCAAUUUGUUUUUUAGAGAGAGGAAAAAAAUAAUUUCAAAAUUGUAUAUAUCUAUAUACUAUGUAUGGUAAAUAGUAUUGCAUGAGACACUGAUCUAAGACCAACACUUUGGAAGAGCUAUAUAAAUGUACGUUUGUUAUGUAAAAUGUAAAAUUUAACUUUAAUUCCUUAAAACUGGUACAUGUAAUGACCAGAUAAACAUACCAUUAAUUCAUCUACAAAGUAAAAUCUUCCAUUUUAUUCCUUGUGGAUUCACUAUAAUGGCACAGGGAAAUGGAUUGCAUCCUGGGAAGGGUGCGCCAGAAUAACAACAUUACAACAUCUUAUAACAGGAAUGAGGAUUACACAAUAAUACUUCUAUUUCACCGUCAAAUAUCUUCUAAGACAAAAAUAUCAAUUAAAUUGUCUUCUAAGUCAAAAAUAUCAAUUAGUUUGUCUUCUUAAACAAAACUAUUAAUUAAAGUCUUCUAAGACAAAACUAUUAAUUACUUUGUCUUCUAAGACAAAACUAUUAAUUAAUUUGUCUUCUAAGACAAAACUAUUAAUCAAUUUGUCUUCUAUGACAAAACUAUUAAUUAAAUUGUCUUCUAGGACAAAAUCCUCAGAUACAGUGACAUAAAAGCAUUAUUCUGGUAACAUUGAUUGUGUAUGAUUGGUCCCACAGUCAAACUUAACAGAUCAACACCAACCUGGGACAGUAGUACAAGGCCAGGCAUGCCUAAUGAUAGCAUACACAUUAUAUUAUGUUCAUGUU